Molecule: ribosomal RNA, 466 nt
Filed under: uncultured bacterium
Lineage: Bacteria
Description: partial 16S ribosomal RNA
Rfam family: Bacterial small subunit ribosomal RNA
Source: RNAcentral
GAUGAACGCUGGCGGCGUGCUUAACACAUGCAAGUCGAACGGAAAGGCUCCUGCUUGCAGGGGUACUCGAGUGGCGAACGGGUGAGUAACACGUGGGUGAUCUGCCCUGCACUUCGGGAUAAGCCUGGGAAACUGGGUCUAAUACCGGAUAGGACGAUGGUUUGGAUGCCAUUGUGGAAAGUUUUUUCGGUGUGGGAUGAGCUCGCGGCCUAUCAGCUUGUUGGUGGGGUAAUGGCCUACCAAGGCGUCGACGGGUAGCCGGCCUGAGAGAGUGUACGGCCACAUUGGGACUGAGAUACGGCCCAGACUCCUACGGGAGGCAGCAGUGGGGAAUAUUGCACAAUGGGCGCAAGCCUGAUGCAGCGACGCCGCGUGGGGGAUGACGGCCUUCGGGUUGUAAACUCCUUUCGCUAGGGACGAAGCGCAAGUGACGGUACCUGGAGAAGAAGCACCGGCUAACUACGUG